RNAcentral lists this signal recognition particle RNA (100 nucleotides) under Acidimicrobiia bacterium. RNAcentral's name for it is "signal recognition particle sRNA small type". It matches the Rfam family "Bacterial small signal recognition particle RNA". Rfam says of the family: The signal recognition particle (SRP) is a universally conserved ribonucleoprotein involved in the co-translational targeting of proteins to membranes. Archaeal SRP consists of a 7S RNA and homologues of the eukaryotic SRP19 and SRP54 proteins. In most bacteria, the SRP consists of a 4.5S RNA and the Ffh protein (a homologue of the eukaryotic SRP54 protein). Lineage: Bacteria; Bacillati; Actinomycetota; Acidimicrobiia. The record is from RNAcentral.
CCCCGGGUCCUGCGCGGCGGGGCGCCGUGAAUCUGGUCAGGUCCGGAAGGAAGCAGCCAUAAGCGGUUUGCUCCGGGCGCCGCAGUCAAGCCUGGUGGCC